Molecule: ribosomal RNA, 507 nt
Filed under: Eupholus schoenherrii petiti
Lineage: Eukaryota; Metazoa; Arthropoda; Insecta; Coleoptera; Curculionidae
Description: partial 16S ribosomal RNA
Rfam family: Bacterial large subunit ribosomal RNA
Source: RNAcentral
CUGCCCAAUGAGGAAUUAAAUGGCCGCGGUACUUUGACCGUGCAAAGGUAGCAUAAUCAUUAGUUUUUUAAUUGAAAGCUGGAAUGAAGGGUUGGAUGAGAGAGUAACUGUCUCUAUUUAAAUUAUUUAGAAAUUUAUCUUUAAGUAAGAAAGCUUAAAUUUUGAUAGAAGACGAGAAGACCCUAUAGAGUUUUAUAAAUUUUGAUUUAGAGAGAUUUAAGAAUUAAUAAAUUUUUAUGUUAAGAUUUAUUUAGUUGGGGCGAUUGAAAAAUUUAAUGAACUUUUUUUAAAUAUUUAAACAUUAAUUUAUGAUUGGAUGAUCCUUAUUUAAAGAUUAAAAGAAAAAAUUACCUUAGGGAUAACAGCGUAAUUUUUUUAAAGAGUUCAAAUCGAAAAAAAAGAUUGCGACCUCGAUGUUGGAUUAAAAUAAAAUUUUGGUGUAGAAGCUAAAAUAUUUGGGUCUGUUCGACCCUUAAAAUUUUACAUGAUCUGAGUUUAAACCGGUGU